RNAcentral lists this ribosomal RNA (93 nucleotides) under Anacolia laevisphaera. Lineage: Eukaryota; Viridiplantae; Streptophyta; Bryopsida; Bartramiales; Bartramiaceae. The record is from RNAcentral.
UGAUGCGGUCAUACCAAGGCUACUACACCAGAUCCCAUCAGAACUCUGAGGUUAAGCGCCUUUGGGCCGGAAUAGUACUGGGAUGGGUGACCU